This is a long non-coding RNA of Mizuhopecten yessoensis (Yesso scallop), 4534 nucleotides long. RefSeq lists it as uncharacterized. The transcript is spliced from 2 exons. Lineage: Eukaryota; Metazoa; Mollusca; Bivalvia; Pectinida; Pectinidae. The record is from RefSeq and is a predicted model, not a curated record.
GUAAGGUCUAGAGAUACGAUAAUGGAUCUGAUAGGUAAGGUCUAGAGAUACGAUAACAGAUCUGAUAGGUAAGGUCUAGAGAUACGAUAACAGAUCUGAUAGGUAAGGUCUAGAGAUACGAUAAUGGAUUUGAUAGGUAAGGUCUAGAGAUACGAUAACAGAUCUGAUAGGUAAGGUCUAGAGAUACGAUAACAGAUCUGAUAGGUAAGGUCUAGAGAUGUGAUAACAGAUCUGAUAGGUUAUAAAGGACUAGACUAGAGGUAAUUGGAAAUUGAACUGGAGUCCCAAUAAUCUAGCCACCGUCAUUGCCAGCAAAAGUAUUAAGCUGGAUUGUAUCAAUAGUAUAAUUUGAGAUGGCUGGACAGUUUUCUAUAGAUAAAGGCCAAUCUUGUCUCCUAAAAAUGGACAACCAGAUUAGUGGUGGCUGGAUAAACAGUUGACUGUUCACUGUAUCUCAUAGUAAGGUCAAUAUCCUUGUUUUAUCUCGGAUCUGGAGUCGGUAGUCUAGAACGUGCACAAUAACAGUGCUAUAGAGAUUGAGGAAUAUUACUAGUCAAAAUAGUCAGGUUUUGCUUUCUCAGUUUCUUCAGGUCUUGUAUAAGAAAUGGGAUUGUGUUGAAAAUUUUAAAAUUGUUAUUCUCAUAAUACUUCCGUCACUUAUUAUUUUUUUUACCGAUAUUUGCCAGACUUGCGUGGUACUUUCUGACUUUUGUUAGUUCACUCAGUAAUUACUAUCAAUAUUAUUGAGAAUAACUCAAUUCUUUCGUAUAAAAUAAUGUAACACUCUUUCCACCUUAUGAUAGAAAUGAGUCUCAGAUCUGUUUUGAAUAAGUUAUAAGGUCAAAUCAUAAUUUUCCUUUAGAUAUUUGUAAUGAGGAUGUACAUAUAACCAUUUAUUGUUUGGUACAAUCUUUUAAGUUGUGAAAGAUAGAGUGAUAAGAUUUAAGAUAACUGCUAUAAAAAUAGCAGAUUUACGGUAGCUUGCUUGUUGACUUAUUAUUAUAUGGGCAUCAAGCUCAAAUUUACAAUUAUAACGUGUUUAUGAUAUUAAACUACAAUAAUGUAGCCAGGAUUAAGAUUAAUGACAACUUCACAAUAUGCAUUUAUGUUUUCCUGGUCAUCAAUAUGUUUGGAGUCUAUUACAUGAGAUCUUGUAGAUCUGGACUCAUAUUCAUGAAACUGCUCUCAUGCUCAAACUCAGACUCUGUGCUCAAGACCAAUUUCUUGUUCCGGUGAUAAAUUAUAAAACAAAAAAAAUGUAAUUUUGAAAAAUUAUGGGGACACUUUGAAGCCAAAUUGUCUUUACAGUGUUGACACCUGACUGACCGAGUCACAUGAUUUUAGUAUAAGUUACAAGUAGGUUGGUUUUAGCACAGAAUCCAUGCUUGAGCAUGAAAAUGGAUUCACGAAUUCAGGCCCUGGUCACCCACCAAACUAGAACUACUGUUAGAGACCAAGGAAAAAAAGCAAAAAUACAGAAUUUUGAGAUCUUAAUACAUUCUGAUUAAAAUUAAAACGCCAGUAAAGUUUGAAAGCUAAAACCAAAGAUGUGUAAGUUAUUGACGUGACAUUCAAAACAUAGUUGAGGAAUGAUCAAUGAGGAUUCACAGUUUUAACUAGUUUCCAAAACUAUUGUACCAUGUAGUUAUAAGUUAGAUGAUUUUAUGUACAGUACUGAAUGUAGAUAGAAGGGAUAAAGAACCAGUAGUAUAUAAUAAUUUAUUAUAGGGAUUUUUGUUGUGAUACUCACAAAUGAUCUUAUUUGGAUUAACUGUAAAUUAUUAAAUUGUAUUUAAUUAAAUCCAUUAUAUAUAUAUAUAUAUUUUUUAAAUGUUAUCUGGUAAGUAAUUACAUUGAAAGCACAAGGUACAGAAAGCAUAAAUUGUUCGUAUUGGGAAGUACAAACAUUUUACUGUAUUUCCUAUCAAUAUUAAUUACCGGUACAUGUUGACGAGUUUAAACAUUGUUGGUGUUUAAAGUAUUGUAUUUAAUGAUUUUUUUCCCUCCACAUUUUGCAACAUUGGUCUGAAAUUAUGAAUGCAUAAUUAGUUUUGUUUAAAAUUUAUAUAUUAGUAUAUAUGUGUUUGUAUUAAUGGCUAUACAGGUGUUGAAUUGUAAUACCCAAGCCAUAAGUAAAAGAUCAGCAUUUCUUUUUUCUAUAUAUAUUUGCUUAUUGUAGCUGUAACAAGUUUAUUUUUAAACAAUAAAUAUGAUGUUAUGUGUUUCCUUUGGCUACUCUCCACACACAUCACACAAAUACUGUAACUGUUUGCUCAAAAAAAAGAUUUUUACACAACGUUCUCAAAUAUAUUUUUCUGAAUUUGCUGUUUGUUUUUAUUAUGAAAAUUUUGGGUUCGUUCACUUGAAAAAUCUUUAAAUGUUUGUAAAUUAAUUUUUUAAAUCCAUGUUUUGACAUUGACUGUCCUGACACUGAGUGUACCAUGUCUGUAAGUGUAUGGGUGGUGAAACCGAUUGUUGAUCAUCGUAUGCAUCUACUGGCUGCAAAGACAGUAAACGGUGUCUGUCAACGUUUCUCCAACUUCCGGAAAUGUUUUUGUUUAAAUCUGAUCUUGGAUGAAUAUCAAAAAAAAAUAGCAUAAUAUUUUGAAGAAAAACAGUACGAGAAAUUAAAAUUAUUUAUUUUUUGUAAGUACAUGUAUCUGAGUUUUAAAAGGACAUCUUGUUCAUCACAAAGUGACUAUCAUAAUUUUAUUUAUUUUUCUGAAAAUGAUGUAGCUAAUUGUAAGCCUUUGGAUAUUUUUUCAGCUAAGUUUCCCUGCAUCAUCCUGUUACAAAAAAAUCGUUUUGACUUUUGUGAUUUGGUUUUGUGUAGUAUUUUGCCCAGAGUUAUGUUGCUGUGUACAGGAGGUUUAACAUGCUUUUCAAUUUCAUCUGCAUUUAGUUAUACCUGGCUUCAAUAACUGACUAACACAUCCAAGUUUGUAAGUCACAAUUUAAAAAAAAACCCAGAGGAAUUUCUUUAAAACUGUCACAAAACAUGUGCUGAGGGUCCAUAUGAUGAUCUUUGGUGAGGGUCGCCAUGGUGAUCUUUGGUGAGGGUCGCCAUGGUGAUCUUAGUUGAGGGUCACCUUGGUGAUCUUUGGUGAGGGUCGCCAUGGUGAUCGUAGUUGAGGGUCUCUUUGGUGAGGGUCGGCAUAGUGAUCUUUGGUGAGGGUCACACUGGUGAUCUUUGUGAGGUUCCCAAUAGUGACUAUCAUGACUUUUUUGCUGGUGAUCUAUGUGAGGGCCCUGUUGUUGCCCUUUGUUGGAUUCUGAUAGUGACCCUCAUGAUGGUGAUCGUUGUUGGUCUUGGAAUGUUUACAUUUUGUUUGUCUCUGAUUCAAAGUCUAAAUUUGUCAGUAUGUUGUAGAAACUUGAUAUUACGUGAUGUUGUAUACAGUGUGUUAUAUAUGUGUAUUAAAGUGAUAUAGAUCUGUUAAUGAAGUACGAUUUAUCUUUUGAGAAGAUUUUUUACCAGUGUGUGUACAAGGUAAUCAUAAAAUAUUUCUCACAGGAUAUCUCAUUUCAACUAAAUGAUAACCAGGUUAAAUGUUCUUUGGUCAGUUUUAUGAAACAAAAAAGUGCUGUUUUUAUUGAAGUGUUUUAUAUUUUGUAUAUUUAUUUAAUGACUAUAAACCAGAUGAAGAGAUUGACAUGGGUGGUGAUUUCUAUUUUUUUUUUUUAAACCCCAAUCUGACCAAUUAUAAAAUGUGGCAUGCAGUUUUUUCACGGUCACAGUCAUGUCUACUGUUAUGGCUGGAAUAUAUACAUUUCCAUGUGUAUACGUAAAACGAUUUUUUGGCACUUGGUAUUUAGUUAAAUAUCCGAGAACAUUUCAAUGUCAUUGUUUGAAGACUGAAGAUCUGAUUGUGGUGUUGAUGAAGUAUAUCUAUAUUUAAUGUCAUUUUCGAAAAUUCCGAAUUUCAUUAACAUGAAAUAAGAGUAUAUUAAGCACAGCAUCUUUUUCCAUAAUAUGUGUUACACCUUGAUUAAGAACAGAUUGAAAUCUAGAGAAAAUCGGAGUCAAACUAUACACAACGUGCUUUGCAACCAUUGAAAUCAAGACCAUCAUUUUACCAGUAUAAUGUUAACCCAUAUGAGGGCUUGCUUUGGGCUGAAGUGUAUGAUGGUAUAAGGAAUUAUUUUACUUUGUACAGAUUAUCAGAAUUUUCUUUAUCUUUAAAUGAUAACUGCUUUAAUAUAUAUUUUUGUGUAUGUUGAUUUUGUGUUAAGGGAUAUAAUUUAUACAUAUUGUCAACACAAGACUUUGGCAUACAUGUUGAACAUAACAAUCUGGUACACAUGCAUUUAUUUUCAUUAAACAAAUCAAAACAAAAAAAUGUUUGAUGCACAAUAUGUACACACUAUCAAAACAUUCAAUAAGCUUAUACUUUGGUUGAUGCACAAUAAGUACACACUAUCAAAACAUUCAAUAAGCUUAUAAUUUGAUUGAUGCACAAUAAGUACACACUAUUGUAACAUUCAAUAAGCUUAUACUUUGAUUGAUGCACAAUAAGAACACACUAUCAAAACA